RNAcentral lists this ribosomal RNA (465 nucleotides) under uncultured bacterium. RNAcentral describes it as "partial 16S ribosomal RNA". It matches the Rfam family "Bacterial small subunit ribosomal RNA", at positions 339 to 795 of the family's 1533-position model. The record is from RNAcentral.
CUACGGGUGGCACCAGUGGGGAAUAUUGGACAAUGGGGGAAACCCUGAUCCAGCAAUGCCGCGUGUGUGAAGAAGGCCUGCGGGUUGUAAAGCACUUUCGGUUGGGAGGACUGCUUCUAGCACUAAUAUUGUUGGAAGUUGACGUUACCUUCAGAAGAAGCACCGGCUAACUCCGUGCCAGCAGCCGCGGUAAUACGGAGGGUGCAAGCGUUAAUCGGAAUUACUGGGCGUAAAGCGCGCGUAGGCGGCUAGAUCAGUCGGGUGUGAAAGCCCCGGGCUUAACCUGGGAACUGCAUCCGAUACUGUCUAGCUUGAGGACAGGAGAGGAGAGUGGAAUUCCACAUGUAGCGGUGAUAUGCGUAGAUAUGUGGAGGAACACCAAUGGCGAAGGCAGCUCUCUGGCCUGAUACUGACGCUGAGGUGCGAAAGCGUGGGAAGCAAACAGGAUUAGAUACCCUGGUAGUC